This 1540-nucleotide long non-coding RNA is filed under the name Marmota monax (woodchuck). The record is from RNAcentral. Lineage: Eukaryota; Metazoa; Chordata; Mammalia; Rodentia; Sciuridae.
CUUUGUUAAUGAGAGCCUCACUAAAUAGCUGAGACUAGCCUUGAAGGUGUGAUCCUCCUGCUUCAGCCUCCCAAGCUGCUGGAAUUUCAGACAGGCACCACUGUAUCCAGCUUCCCAUCUUGGUUCCGUACCGGACCUGCAUUCUCUUCCACAAGCCCCUCCCCUGCCUGUAUGGCUACUUGUGGGUCUAGGACCCACAGGCCCAGUCAUUCUCCUGACCUCCUCUUCUACUUCCCAACCCUUCCAAGCCACAAGACCAGUACAAUCCAGAAAGGGGUUGAAUCCCAACCAUUCCUUCCUCCUCAGUUAAGGGAAAGCAAGGAAUGAGAGAUGGGUAAGCGAAAAAUGAAAGACAGAGACCAGGCAGAGAUACACAUGAGAAUUUGUCAGAGCUGACAAAUAAAGGCCAUCUCUCUAGAGUGGAGAGAGGCAAAACAGGCUUGGGUUCCAGGACUUUUAUGGGGAAGGUUCAGGGAUCAGAGCCAGGCAGGUCCUAAUGCAGGUGGUUAAGGGUUGGGUUGGGAUGAGGGAGUGGUGAGCCUUUCUCAGAAAUGCCCUAGGGCAGGAAAGUGAAACUGUUUCUUUAAAAUGGCGCUGUCCCUUAAGAUGGUGUAAGGAUGGCCUUAGGGCUGAGCCUAAGCAACUCCAUUUUAAAAACUCCAGUAUGAAACCUGCAGUCUCACCAGGCACUGGAGCCCUCCAGUAUGGCCCUCAGGCACAAACAAGUCACUUCCCCCCCCACCCUGAUAAACUUAGAGUGAAGCCUCUGGCAGGCUGUCCUCGCCUGAUAAGAGGGAAAGGCGAAAAGAUCAGGGUGGGGACCACCAGACAAGAUGUUUUAACCCCAGGGUAAAUGACGCAACAGAGAGACCCAGUGGCAGCUGAUAAGGAUUAAAAGGAGGGUCAAAAGCCCCAGAGUUUGGUACAAAUAAUGGAGCAAAUGAACAGACAUUUAGCUAACAAUGAUGCCCUCAGACUGAGAGCCUGGUGAGGACCUGGACUGACAUCCCAACACUUUUCAUCAUUUGCUGAUCCUCUGCAUCUUCCUCACCAGUAAAUUCUACAGCCACAUCUUAACCCUGGUGAGAGCAACUUCUUCCUACGACCCUCUCCUCAGCCAGCCGUCAGCUCCACCCCAGGAGAAGCCUGCCUUGGUUCCUGAUCUGAUGACCGUGGUCUGAGUGAGUGUGCAUCUGCUGGACUUAAAACCUAAGGCUUGAGACUUUUGAUUCUGCAAAGGGAAUGUCUGUCAUGAGCCUGUCACGAUUACGUGUGUUUGCAGUGCUUAGAAUUAAUCUAGAAUUGUUUGCUGUGAAUUGCUUAUGUCUGUUGUAGUGCCUAGCUUUAAGGAUUGUCGUUUUCUUGAUUAAGAACCUAUAGAGUGAAGUUGUAUUGAGUGAUUUAAGUGAAUAAAGCAUUACUAGGACAGAAGCGCGUGGACAUUCUUUGGUUCUCCCCCUCGACUGCAUACGUCGCACCUUUUGCCCAUCGCGACAGAUGGCCAUCCAGAUGCUAAACAAGGACCCUAUAUUCAGUUUCC